CCAUUCAGUAUACCGACGACCGUAGUGCUGGUAAGACAUACACUCGCCACCUCCCGCAAAGUGUAUCUUAUACCGUGUAAACACAUGUGCGUUUUUGUGCCCAAUUUAUAUUUUCCUAAAUAUUUGUUUUUACUUUUUCUCGCACUUCCUCCUAUGUGGACACAACCGCAUUUUUCGCAUAGGACGAUGAUCGAUAGAUCAAACGUAUAGUGCCAUCGAGCCUUCGGCUGUAAUCGUUGGUCGCCACUCUGCAAGUUCUAAAACAGCUUCAACACAGUGCGGUUUAAAAAAUAUCAGACUAAAA
Long non-coding RNA from Temnothorax curvispinosus, 304 nucleotides. RefSeq lists it as uncharacterized. NCBI's taxonomy places the organism in Eukaryota, Metazoa, Arthropoda, Insecta, Hymenoptera, Formicidae. The record is from RefSeq and is a predicted model, not a curated record. The transcript has 2 exons.